This 525-nucleotide ribosomal RNA is filed under the name uncultured Lachnospiraceae bacterium. RNAcentral describes it as "partial 16S ribosomal RNA". The record is from RNAcentral. Lineage: Bacteria; Bacillati; Bacillota; Clostridia; Lachnospirales; Lachnospiraceae.
CACGUAGUUAGCCGGGACUUCUUAGUCAGGUACCGUCUUUUUUCUUCCCUGCUGAUAGAAGUUUACAUACCGAAAUACUUCUUCCUUCACGCGGCGUCGCUGUAUCAGGGUUUCCCCCAUUGUGCAAUAUUCCCCACUGCUGCCUCCCGUAGGAGUCUGGACCGUGUCUCAGUUCCAAUGUGGCCGUUCACCCUCUCAGGCCGGCUACUGAUCGCUGACUUGGUAGGCCCCUACCCACAACUAUCUAAUCAGACGCGGGCCCAUCCUGUACCGUCUCGGCUUUUCACACUGUAACAUGCGUUACUGUGCGCUUAUGGGGUAUUAGCAGCUGUUCCGGCUGUUCGUCCCCCUGUACAGGGCAGGUUGCCCACGCGUUACUCACCCGUCCGCCACUAAGUCGCUUACUUCCUUCCUCCCGAAGGUAUUUAGUUGUAAGCGCUUCGUUCAACUUGCAUGUGUUAGGCACGCCGCAGCGUUCAUCCUGACGCCAGGAUACUAAAACUCCUCGUACGAGACUCGCCAAAC